AACGAACGCUGGCGGCAUGCCUAACACAUGCAAGUCGAACGAGACCUUCGGGUCUAGUGGCGCACGGGUGCGUAACGCGUGGGAACCUGCCCUUAGGUUCGGAAUAACUCCCCUUAAGGGGUGCUAAUACCGGAUAAUGUCUUCGGACCAAAGAUUUAUCGCCUUUGGAUGGGCCCGCGUUGGAUUAGCUGGUUGGUAGUGUAAAAGCCUACCAAGGCGACGAUCCAUAGCUGGUCUGAGAGGAGGAUCAGCCACACUGGGACUGAGACACGGCCCAGAAUCCUACGGGAGGCAGCAGAGGGGAAUAUUGGACAAUGGGCGAAAGCCUGAUCCAGCAAUGCCGCGUGAGUGAUGAAGGCGUUAGGGUUGUAAAGCUCUUUUACCCGGGAUGAUAAUGACAGUACCGGGAGAAUAAGCACCGGCUAACUCCGUG
Molecule: ribosomal RNA, 433 nt
Filed under: uncultured bacterium
Lineage: Bacteria
Description: partial 16S ribosomal RNA
Rfam family: Bacterial small subunit ribosomal RNA
Source: RNAcentral